This 3172-nucleotide long non-coding RNA is filed under the name Homo sapiens (human). RNAcentral describes it as "HSALNT0396726". Lineage: Eukaryota; Metazoa; Chordata; Mammalia; Primates; Hominidae. The record is from RNAcentral.
GAGAUUCUGAAUCUCAAAACCAAUGAAAGUUUCAAAAGUUGAAAAAUUGACUUUCAUCCUUGAAUCCAGUGUACAAGUAAGCUGGUAACUCUCAGACCAAGAUUCAGCACCCCUGAGACUUGAGAAACCGUGAGUCCACUAAGGAGACACAGUCUAGAGGAUGGAUGGAAGGUCUCAUACACAGAUCAAGUCCACAGUUGAGAUUGUUAUUUGCCUCUUCUCUUCUGCCUGGGCACUGCCAAAGAAAAAAGGAGAUUGUAGCAAUUCACUGGACCCAGAACCUAGUUGAGGGAGCAUUGUGACAUGCCACUGGGCUCAGCACCCAGGUGAUGUUCCUCUCCUGCCUGGUCCCUUCCAUCAGGGAAUAUUGUACAAAUCUCUGGCCAAGCACCCAGUUGAUGUGACUCUCCUGCUCACUACCUACUCACAGGUUACAUGUCCCAUGUCGCAGAAAAUGUUGUAAUGUAUUGCUGGACCCAGUCACCAGAUGAUGUGUCUCUCCUGCCAAGGCUGUGCCCACAGAGAGCAUUUUGACAUAUCACUGGGCUCAGCACCCAGGUGAAAUGACUCUGCUGCCUGUACUCUGCUUUAAGAGGGGAUUGUAAUAUAUCUGUGGCUGAGCACCUAGGUGAGAUGACUUCUGCGUGGUUUCUGACCUCAGGAAAGAUUGUGACAUAUCUUUGCCGAAAACCUACAUGAUGUGAAUCUGCUGCUCACUUCCUACCGACAGUCUCCAAAGUUAUCAGAAACCUGCAUUUAAAAAUACCUGGCAAAGUUCCAUAGCGGACCAUAAAUCACCUCUUGAAGAGGAUCGAAUCAAGACAACAAUUGUCUGAGGGAUUGAGACAAUUCUGGAAGCCCAGCACCUAGGUGAUGUGACUUUCAUCUUUUGUUUGGACCGUGUGCACAAAAGGAAGAGUGGCUUAUCACUGGACCUCACACACAGGAGGUAUUGUGACAUAUUCCUGGAGCAAGUACCCAGGUAAUGUAACUCUUUUCUACUGCUUGGACUCUACCCAAGGAGAGAUUCUAAUGUAUCACUGGACCCAGCACCUAGGUUACGUGACUUUCCUCUUGUGUCUGAGUCUUGCAUAAAUUGUGUAUUGUGACAAAUCUCUGGGUCUAAAACCUAGGUGAUGAGACUCUUAUGCAUGAGCCCUGCUUACAGGGAUAUUAUGACAUAUCUUUUUUUUUUAAUCACCUAUGUGAUGUGCCUUUGUUUGUGUGUGUGUGUGUGUGUGCGUCCUGGCCCUGCCAAAAGUGGGGAUUGUAACAUAUCAUUAAACUUAGUACCAAGGUGUUAUGACUCACCUUGUUUGCCUGGGCCCUGCAUAUAUUUGGUAAUGUGACGUAUGGCUGAGACAAACACCUAGGGCAUGAGAGCCUUGUGCCUGGGUCCUGCCCACAAGGAGCCUUUUGGCUUAUCUCUGCAUCCAUGAACUAGGAGAUGUGACUCUUCUUUUCUGUCUGGGUUCUGCAAAAACAAGUGAUUGUGACAUAUCAUCAAACCCAGCAACUAGACGAUGUGAUUUUUCUUCCCUGCUUGAGCCCUGGAUAUGCUGUGCAUUGUGAUAUAUGGCUGGGUCCAACAUCAAGGAGAGAUUGUGACAUAUCUCUGGAACCAGAACCUUGGUGAUGUGACUCUUCUCUCCUGCUGAAGCCAUGCCCACACAAGGGAAAGUGACUUAUCACUGGGCCCAGCACACAGCGCUAUUCACAGGGAAAAUAGUGACACAUCUGUGGGGUUCUCACCGAAAUGAUGUGACUCUCUUGCCUGGGCUCACCUCUCAAGGGAAUUUUGACAUAUUACUGGACCAAGCACCUAGGCCCUGCAUUUAUUGUGUAUUGUGACAUAUGGCUUGGUCCAACACCUAGGUGGUGUGACUCUCUACUUCUUCCUGUGCCAUGCCAAAGAAGAGGAUUGUGACAUAUCACUGGAUCCAGCACCUAGGAUGCAUAUGCCAGAUUUCCAGGCCCAUCACCUAGAUGAUGAGACUCUCCUCUUCUUUCUGGGACCAAUACACAGUGGGAAUUGUGAUGCAUCGUUUAGCUCAGCAGCUACAUGAUGUGACCCUCUUCUCAUGAGAUUCCUGCCCACUUGGGUAAUUGCAACAUAUAAUGUAGCCGAGUUUCUAGGAUACCUGACUCUUCUCUUAUUCCUGAGACUUACACAGAAUCGGCAACAUCUCUGAUCUUCUCACCUAGGAGACAUGACCCAAAAAGGGAUUAUGACAUAUCUCUGAGCCCAACACCCAAAUGUUGUGACUCUCCUGCCUGGGCUGUGCCUAGAGAAAAUAUAAUAUGUCACUGGGCCCUGCAUGCAAGUGAUCUGAUUCUCCAGCCUGGGCCUUGCCCACAGGGGAGAUUGAGACAUAUUCCAGGUGGAUGGUGACUCUAAGACCAGGAUUCAACACAACUAGAAGGCUUUGACUCUAAUACGAGUCACAGAAGGCUCUGCGACUCUUCUAUUUUCUCUAGGUUAUGCAAAUGGAGGUGGAUUGUGACAUAUCAUAGGGCCAACACAACACACAGUCUACAGGUGGAAUUGGGACUCUCAUGCAUGGAUCCAGUUCAUCAUUGAUACUGUGACUCAGGUGGGAUUUUGACAUAUAACUGCACCCAGCACACAGUGGUCCAUUACAUUGAUGACAUUAUGCUGAUUGAAUCCAGUAAGCAAGAAAUAGCAAACACACCAGACUUAUUCAUGAGACGUUUGCAUGCCAGAGGAUGGAAAAUAAGUCUGACUAAAAUUUAGAGACCUUCUAGCUCAGUAAAACUUCCAGGGGUCCAGUGGUCCAAGGCCUGUCAAGAUAGUCCUUCUAAGGUAAAAGGUAAGUUGCUGCAUUUGGCCCAUCCUACAACCAAGAAAGAGGCACAAUGUCUAGUGGGCCUAUUUGGGUUUUGGAGGCAACCUAUUCCUCAUUUGGGUGUGUUACUCUGGCCCAUUUAUUGAGUGACCCAAAAAGCUGCCAGUUCUGAGUGUGGUCCAGAAAAGGAGAAGGCUCUGCAACAGGUCCAGGCUGCUGUGCAAGCUGCUCUGCCACUUGGGCCAUAUUACCCAGGAGAUCCAAUGGAUCUUGAGUUGUCAGUGUAAAAUAAGGAUGCUAUUUGUAGCCUUUGGCAGGCCCCCUUAGGUGAAUCACAGCAGAGGCCUCUAGAAUUUUGUUCUUUC